Molecule: ribosomal RNA, 467 nt
Filed under: uncultured bacterium
Lineage: Bacteria
Description: partial 16S ribosomal RNA
Rfam family: Bacterial small subunit ribosomal RNA
Source: RNAcentral
ACGCACGCUGGCGGCGUGCUUAACCCAUGCCAGUCGCACGGAAAGGCCCUGCUUUUGUGGGGUGCUCGAGUGGCGAACGGGGGAGUAACACGGGAGUAACCUGCCCUUGACUUUGGGAUAACUUCAGGAAACUGGGGCUAAUACCGGAUAGGAGCUCCGGCUGCAUGGUGGGGGUUGGAAAGUUUCGGCGGUUGGGGAUGGACUCGCGGCUUAUCAGCUUGUUGGUGGGGUAGUGGCUUACCAAGGCUUUGACGGGUAGCCGGCCUGAGAGGGUGACCGGCCACAUUGGGACUGAGAUACGGCCCAGACUCCUACGGGAGGCAGCAGUGGGGAAUAUUGCACAAUGGGCGGAAGCCUGAUGCAGCAACGCCGCGUGCGGGAUGACGGCCUUCGGGUUGUAAACCGCUUUCGCCUGUGACGAAGCGUGAGUGACGGUAAUGGGUAAAGAAGCACCGGCUAACUACGUG